Molecule: non-coding RNA, 9190 nt
Organism: Manis javanica (Malayan pangolin)
Lineage: Eukaryota; Metazoa; Chordata; Mammalia; Pholidota; Manidae
Source: RefSeq, a predicted model, not a curated record
UCUCACUGAUUGAUGUGCAGGGCCUGGGGAUUGCAACUCGUGGGGGCUUCAGCUUCCAAGCUGCAGCCUCGAAAUAAGGCGGCAACUUCCUCUCCUGGCAGGCCGAUGGGGAGAGUUGCUGGGCUUAAGCCCUCAUUUCAGUUCAGACAAUUAAAUUCAACAAGCAUUUAUCGGUCUCUGAGGACAUGCCAGACAUUGUUCUUCCUGCUGGGAUAAAAAGGUGACUAAAAUAUAGUUCCUGUCCUUGGAAGCUCAUAACUACAAUCAGCACCAUAGAAGUACUUGCAGAAAUAACACAGUGUGUAUUUCAUACCAUGUUUGCCCGAUAUUGCUUAAAUUAGGUCUUUGCAACCCUAUGGGAUAGAUACUGUUAUUUACAUCAUUUCGGAUAGGGGAACUGAGGCACAGAGAAGUUAAGUAACUUACCCGAGGUAGCAAACAGUGGUAGGUAGUAGAGCUGGGCUUUGAACCCGUGUCUGGCUGACUCACGAGCCCAAGUUUGAACCUCUUCGCUCAAUUUGUCAGCAGGGCCCAACACUAUUUUCGAGUUGGAACUCUUUCCCAGCCACUCUUCUGCCACUCCCACCCCUUGUCUCCUACAUCUCCCUCCCACCCGCGAAACCCGCCGGGGAACUGGGAAGCUGGCCGAAACGACGGCGGCAUUCGCGCUGGGAAAGAGUGCACAAGCAAGGGACGGCAUUGGCUUCUAUGGGCAGUGUUAUUGCUGGCUGCAGCUGGGGCUGGAGAAGGCUCCCCGGGCCAACAGGGUUCAAGCGCCUCCUCAGAGCACUGUGAAUGUCCUUUUGAUCACAUCUGCAAAAUAAGCAAAUAUGGUUUCAAAACAAACGGAGCUCGCCGCAUGGGUUUCAUUAUGAAGUGGCCUUCGUACUCCCGACACCAGGGGAUCCCUCCUCCUGGCCUCUGGUGACGUCAGCGCCUCAUCCUCACUCCCUGAACAAAGCCUGGGAAUGACCUGGCCGCGUCCUCUUUUUUUCUGUUGUCGCUGUGCUCAUUGGAGGGGUGCAGCCUGGGACGCUGUUUCCCCCCUUUCAGAAGGAUGGAGUCGCUCUGGUGUUUGCAUUCUCUUUGCACAUCGUAGUGGCAACCAUUGGUCACCACUGUCCUUUGAGAGGCCCCUAUAAGCCAUGUCUGGGUGACCUCUUUCUUUUCCCAGUGGUUUGCCUGUGGUCACAUAUUUCUGGGUAGUCUACAGCAUAAGGAGGAAACAGUUGGUCAGAGCAGCUCUUCCUAGGAAUAGGAAGUGAGGUUCCCAGGGUCUCUCCAUUUCUGGCAAAAUGGCUGGUUUAUUCUAGAAGGUGGACAGGCUGUAGCGUUAGAAAAUAACAUCCUGUGUGCCUUACUGGCUGUGUGACCUUGGGAAAGCCACUUAAUCCUGUUUCCAGCUAUACAGUGAGGUAAUCGUCAUGCCCCAGGCUUGAAGACUAAAUGAGGUAGUUUGCAUCUAGCUUUAUAAACUGCUGCACACUGUGCAGUGAGUCAAGGUGAAGAGUGGUGGCUUUGGACUUGGAUAGGCUGGAUUUGAAUUGCAGUGCUGAUCCCUACUAAUACAGUACGUACUGAGUCUCAGAUUCCUCAUCUGUCCAGUAGAGAUGCCAGCUCCUGUCUCUGGGGGUGGUAGUUUACUUGUUCAUUUUUGCAGUGAGGAUUUUUUGAACAGUACUGUGUGCGAUGCUCUGCACCCAGUCCUGGAGCGUCAAUGACAAAUAUGUGGAUUUUAGACCGUAAUAUAGUCAAAGCACCUAGCAUUUAACUCUUCAUGUUCAAGGCACCUGUUUAAAUGGCUGGCCACCAGGGAGGAAGCUGAACAGGAGGCCAGCUGCUCAGAAGAUUCUUCUGCCACCUGCCCCCAGAGCUCUCAAAAUAAAAUGCAGUCUUUACAAGGCCUGGAAUAAUAGACACCUGCCUCCGAACAGAAAGCAAACCUUCGCAGUCUCUGACACAAUUCUUCCUUCUGCUGGCUCUGGGAUGCUGCUAGGAUCUGCGAAUCCUGGACCGUGAAAGAAUCUUGAGGGUUGUUUUCCAAUCUUGUUUCAGUAAUUAUGCCCGUAAAGUCUUAAGUGAUGUGCCCAAGAUAAAGCCCAGUGAAUCAGUAUCCAUUACAUUGUUGUCUUUAUUUCCCUGGAGUUUGACAGUGCUUGUCACACAGUAGGUACUUUACACUGUUUGAUUUUGGAAAGAAGGGGUGACAGCCAGGAUUAGGACUCACAUGUUUGACUUCAGGCAAAUUCUCUUUUCAUCAUCUCACACCCAUUUCGAAGGUUUUUAAAAAUGUGUCUCAUCUGGUGUUGAUCUGUCUUCUGGCUGGAUCUGCUCAGCUCUUCCUGACUCAGCAUUUCACUGAAAACAUAUUUAGAAGGGUACUUGUUGCAAAGGCAGGCAGACACAUGGCCGCAAGCUGGCCUCCAUGUUCAAAAGAGCCCAUAUCAUCAGUGUCUGGACAGGGGGAACAUUAAAAUGGAUGCCCUGUUACCCCCCAGUGGAAUAUGAACAGUGUGGUCCUUCUUGGGGGCCCUCUCUGGUGCCUCUCUAAGUGUGGGUCCAUCUUAUGUAUUUCAAGGGUGGAGGUCUUCUGCCCAGGGAAUCUAUAGAAAUGCUACUGGUUUAAACUUGUAACCAUGAAACCCUGUCACAUGUUGCUGCAGUCGUGGCAUGAGCCAUGUAGCUUGUUCCUUCCCCUUCUCUGCCUGAUGUUCAUUUGCCAUGAGCAUGUCUGGCAUCAGAAACUAUCUGGCCACUAAGAGAUGGCGUGGCUUCCAAAAAUAUUCACAUAGUCGGUCAUCAGAAAGAAUGACAGCAAUGUGCUGCUUUGGGUUGCAUUCCAUACUGUAUGGAGAGGCCCCCUGAAGCCUUCUCCACAGUGGAGUAAGCCUACAUCUACUAAAAUAGACACCCAGCAUAGCAUUAAUUUGCAAUUAAUAAGAAUGGGCCAGAUUCACAUCCUGCUCUCUUAGAGAAUGGAAUGCUGACAAUUCCCAUAGAAGCCUCCUGUAAAAAUGUCUGACAAUGAGACAUCCAUGUCUUACAAUGACCCCAGGGCCAGCUGACCUCCCUAAAGAGGGCUGAGAAUCUGGUGAGCUCCCAGAGCUCAGAGUAGAGGGGCAUAGGGGAAAUGGCCUGUCACCCCUGGUGACAAUGGAAAUGCGGCUGUUUCAGAUAAGAAAAGAUGCUUUGAAUGGCAGGGGCUACGAUGAGACAGAAACCUCCUAGGCUUAACAAGACCAAGUAGGACAGCUCAGGAUUGGGGCCUCUGGGCUUUGAUUAUAUGAAUGUGAGAGCUCUGAAUUCGUGCGUUAAUUAAUCCAUUCAUUUGUUCAUUCAUCUGUGUGUGUGUAUGUGUGUGUGUUUGUGUGUGUGUGUGUGUGUGUGUACCUAUCCAUGCAUGCCUGCAUUCACUUUUCCAUUCUUGCUUAUAUUCAUUCAGCCAAUUUUGUAUGUCCUGUGGGCAAUAUUUAUUGGACCACAAAUAUCUACUGAGUUCCUACCAUUACCUGGCCUGUGCUGGAAGCUGGGAGUUUAAUAGUGAACCAGAUGGCUGGAUCCUUGUCUUCUUGGGGCUCAGAAUCAGGCAGUUGCUAAAGCAGCAGUAAUAAUGAGCCAUGAAGAGAUACAGAGAUGAAUGAGGAAGAUAAGGUACCUACCCUAAUGGACUUUAGGAUUCUAGUUGAGGACACAAGCAAUAAGCAAAUAAAUACAUAGUGCAAUUGGUGGUGAAGAAAAUCCAUGCAAGGUGAGGAGAAUGGCAGGUGCUAUUUAACUAGGGUGGUUAGACAAGGCCGUUGCAUAGGACUCGAACUCCUCAGAUCCAUAAAGCUUUCUCUGGUUUCCUAGCCUUUGCACACACGUUUCUUCUGCUUGGAAUGCUCUUCCCACUGCUGUUUGCCUAUGCCUCCUUUGAGUCUCAGCUUGAAUGCUUCUUCUUCCAGGAAGCCUUCCUGAUCCUUGUCCCUUAGCAGGGCCAAAUGGCCCUGCUGUGUGCCUCAUAGUGCCCUGUGUAAUAACGUUGUGGAAGUGCUGAGCAGGAAGUGGUGGGUCUGUUAACUAUGGAUGGACCAGAAAGCCUUUGCUGAAGCAGUGGUGGUUAAACUGGGCUUUGAAGUGGGUAGAAGUUUGGUAGAAAGGAAUGUGAUGAUGGCCUUGCAAGGGGAAGGAAUAGCAAGCACGAGGACAGGGCAUGGGGGCUGGAAAAGGAAAGUGACUUUUAUUGAGCCCCUGCUAGAAGCCAGAGCCAUGUGCCAGAACUUCUGCACACCUUACUUUGUGUUCUCAGAGUGUCUCUACUGGGCUGGGUCUGAUCGUCCCCAUUUUACAGAAGAGAAGGCUCCCACAGCUGAAAACCAAUGUGGCUGGCUGCAUAUCGAAGGCUAUUUGACUUUAAAGACCAGACACCUGAUAAAGUCUACCCUCUGCUAUUAUCAUCCAAAUUUGCCCUAAAUCCAAGAGAGUGUCACACAAGGGCACUUCUUUGGUCCUUGCUUCAGUCAGCCUUACCUUGUCUGUAGGCAGGCUGCAGACAGCCGUCCCUGGGAGAGACUCUCCAAGUGCUGAUGGUGGCCGAUGGCCAGGUAGCCUGAGGUUUGGUGGCCAGAGCAGCCAUGCAGGGACAGUAGAGUUGAAUGUGCUGUGAGCCUGGACGGACUGUUCACUAGCGUCCCCUGAGAGGCUGCUUCUUGGAGGCAUGCCCUCAGUUAAGAGCUUCCCCAGAUCACUUGGGGUCAGUCAUUUCCAGGCUCCCUCAAGAGGCGAUGUAAGCUUAGAUCUUCCGAAGAUGAAAGCUGACCCCAUUCAUUUCUGCUCAUUGUUCCACUCCCUACCUUCACUUCCUGACAGCUCGGGAGCAAGGCUGUCAUGGAUAAAGCCACAGCAAUUAACUCCAUGGCCGGAAAGGAGCUAUGGAGUGUGUCUUCCUCUAUGGGGUUACCGUCUUCCUAAAGAGUUACGCAGAAAGCCCAUUUCCUCCUCCGCCAGCUGGAAGCAAUAACUCCCCUUUACGUGGAGCUUUAUUGCCCAGGCAGCUCUUCACUGGCUUCACCUUACUGCCUGGGCCUCAGUUUCCUCAUCAGCAAAAUGGAGAUAAUAAUGGUACCCCUCCUCAUAGGGUGGUUGAGGGGACUUGAUACAUUCAUAUAUGUGGUGCUGACAGAACAGCGACUCCAUGUAGUCAUGCUGCUGUUACUAUUAUCUCAUUAAAUCUGGUUUUGCUUUUCAUAACACCAUGUGGGUGGUGCCGUUGCAACUCCAUUUUCCAACAAAGGAAACAGACUCAGGUAAAGUAACAAUUGCUCACAUUUUUUGAAGGCUUACUAUGUGCAAGGCAUGGCUUAAGCUCUUUCCAUCUAUUAGCUCAUAUGAUUUGUGUGUGGCCGUUUAUAUUCUGGGAGGUAUAGGUUACAUUCUAGGGGCUUUACACGCAUAUCCUCCCAUCCUCCCAAUGGUUUAUUACUACCAUUUUGCAGGUGAGGAAAUCGAGUGAUGUGGCAGGCUCACCAGUCACAGAGUGGUGCCAAGUGCAAGGUUAGCUCCAGGUUACCUGGCUCCCAAACCUCUGAUCUGUCCGGCUCGCUGCACUUCCUCUUAGAUACUGCGAAUGACUAUCAGACCACAGCUUUUAUUAUCAUUGUCAUCAGCGUCUUUUCCCAGAGCUUAAUCACCAGCAAGCUGAUACUUCCUAUUUCAUCGGGUGAACGCAGAGUGAUGAUUCAGGGAUCUGAGGCUAAUUCUUUUUUAAGUGAUGUUAAGUAUAUGUAACUAACAUAAAGUUUGCCAUUUUUAGGUGGGUGGUUCUGCGGCAUUAAGUGCAUUCCCAUUGUAGAGCAACCAUCAUGCCACUGAUCUCCAGAAUUUUUGUGUCUUCCCACACUGGAACUCUAUUCCCAUUGAACACUAACUCCCCAUUCCUCCUUCUCCCCAGCCUCUGGCACCUGCUAUUCCACUUCCUGUCUCUAUGAAUUUGACCCCUCUGCAUGCCGCAUGUAAGUGGAAUCAUGCACUCUUUGCCCUUCAGUGUCUGGUUGUUUCCUUUAGCACAGUGUCAUCAAGGUUCAUCCAUGUUGAGCUGAGGUCAAUUCUUUUGAAGUGUGAACAAUCGCUUCCUAGUUUAUUUUUCUAACUCUGGUUUUCAUCAGCAGGCAUAAAAAGACUCCAAAAAUUCAAGACAGGAGUACUGACUUACCAGGUUCCUUUUCAGAGUCCAGAUAGAACUGAACAGCCCAGUGUGGGACAUGGUUCUGACCCAGUACAGGGCAAGGGAACAAUACAUCCCCUGUAGAAAUGCAGAGCGGUUACCCUUCUAAGGUCACCAGUGUGUUGGCAAAAUGUGACUGUAAGAGCAAUGCCAGCUGCCCUUUGGCAGAGUUACCCUGUGUGCAGCUGUUGUUCUGUUGCAGAGAAAGUGUCCAGGGUGCGAAGACCCUAAUGAUCGUGUCAUUGUUCUCAUCUCUGUGACCUUCAGGAUUCGCUUAUCUCUUAGGGCUCCUUCAGGUUGAAACCAUUUGUAGGAUUUGGUUGCUUUUGUUUUAUGAUGUUUAAAAUCAUUAUUCCCCAAGUUCAGCUUUCCCAGAUUUCCCAGAUUUCUUUUCUUUCUCUCUGUUCAUGGAUUUUCAAAUAAAAACUGUAUUUAUUUGAAAGAGGCCUUACAUAAUUACCUUAAAUGGAAAACCAGUCUUUUUUUGAGUAGCAGGAGUUAAUAAAGUUACCUACAUGUAUCUAAAGGGGGGAAGCAGAUCUUUAUUGAGUUCCAGCUCUGUGUUGAUUACUUUUUUAAGCAUUUUACAUACUUUGUGUCACUUAAUUUUCACCAUGACGUUGUGCAGGUAGAUUCUAUUCCUACCUCCAUCUAACAUGAGAAAUUGAGGAUUUGAGAAGUUUCAUAACCAGCAGCUAUUUCCUUUCUUAAAGUUGAUAUAAGCUCCAUAUUGCAUGAAAUCUUACCGCCACAGUCUGGAUUUAAGUGGCUCAAGGUGUGAGAGCUAUGCAUAUGUGUAUAUGUUGAUUAAUAUUGCUUUUCUGCUGAAGUGCCAAGAACAUGGGCUAAUCUACAUGUCUAUUAAUCUUAUGUCAGCGACAGUGACAGUUUUACUGGGAGAGGCUGAUAAACAUCAGUCUACGAGGAUGGGAAUGGGCUAUAACAUAAACACGCUCUCACAAUGGCUACAGAGAAAGCAGGGAUGCCCAGAAUUGGAGAUCUCUCAGCGAGAGUGUGUACACGUGGGGAUUUGCAUGUGUUGGCGGUGGGUACCUCUCACGCAUGUGUGUAUUUGGAAGCUCAUAUGGUGCUUCCGAUGCUGCAGACACUGCGGGUGGGAAGGGCAUGUAUGUUUUCCUCUGGAUGCGCUCUGUGCUAUGUUGGUUUCUGUCUUAGCCACAGUCAGGGAGGAUGAAGCGCUGGGACUUCUCAGGAUGGUCCAGGGCUGCAGCCAUUCUGUGCCAAUUCUGAUUGACAGGGCACACUUCAUAAAGCUUCCAGCCAACUUCCUGCAAGGGACUCAGGGGCCAUGAUAAGAAAGUGGAAUUCAGGGCAAUUAAGUGCAAUCUGAGCCCUGAGAAUGUGUUUUCUGAGGGGCGGCCAUACAGCCAGCUGCUUUCAAUGACAUUCCAUUCAUUCAGGGACAACUUUUACAAAAUAGGCUUAUUCUGUGGGCUGCAUACAAAACAGAGCCUCUGUGGCAUUCGGGUUGGGCUGCUCUCUGGGCAUGAGAAUCACUCUGCCUGUAUUAAAGCCUCAAAUGGAAAUCAGCUCCGGGGGUGGCAGAAGCUUGCAGUGGCUCAACUUGUAGGACUGGAGUGAAAUUUGCAGAUUCCCCAGGGCCGUGUGCACAGCGGUUUGACACAGGGGUGUACAUUGCUGCUUACUAGUUAACUCCCCUGGGAUGAAUAACCUCAUCUCCCUAAACUUCAGUGUCCUUAUCUAUUAAAUAGGUUUUUAAAAAAUUGUGAUAAAAUAUCCAUAAUGUAACAUUUAUCAUUUUAACCAGUUUUAGAUGCAUGGUUGAGUGACAUGAAAUAUAUUCAUAUUGUUGUGUGAAUGGGGUUUUAGAUGGAAUUUGAUUAGAGACUGUAAAGUAUUCAGAACACUGCCUAGUACUUGGAGGUCGUUCAGUAAGGGGCAGCUAAUUUGUUUAUUAUUAUUUUGCAUCUCUUAAUGAUCUUGUGCUUUUCACAAUAUACUACCUGCUUUAGAGACAGGUAUUUCUUGGGUGGGGGCAGGUACUAAGCAGUGGAUUUGACAAAGAUGAAAGAUGUGGAACCUGCCACUUACUUGGGGGACUCAGAGUCUAACAGGCAAGGAAAACUUAAAAAUAUAUACAUACAUACAUAUUAUAUGUAUAUAUGUGAUGUGUAUAUAUAUGAUAAUAUAUAUGUAUAUAUACAGGGAAGAGUGCUGCCAUAAAGGAUAAUAAAUAAAACAUGUCAAGAAACCAGAGAAGAGAAUGAUUCCAAGGUGUAUACAAUACACAGAAAGCAAGGUUAGGUAAAAAUUUGCAUGGAGCUUGAAGACCUAAAGGUUAUAAAGUAUUUUUACAUUCAUGGUCUCAUCUUGGUUGAUACAUCUACUUUCUUAUUAUUCUCACAAUUAUCCUGCAAUCUGAAACAGGAUAGCAAUCCUGGAUUCCCAUUUUCUCGUGAAUAGAUUGAGGCUCAGAGUAGCUAAGUGGCCUGCUCCAUGUUACCCAGAUGGCUAGGGGCAAAGUUUGGGCUGAAAUAUGAUGACUCAACACCCAGAGCUCUGGGUCCAUUUCUGGUUUUCCAAAGUGUGAUAUGCACACAGCCAUGGAGGCAGCGUGAUGUUAGUAAGCCCCAGAUGGACAAGUUUCUGACUGAUAGUUAUACUUUAAUGUUUUAUCAGCAACAUCAAGCCUCUAAUUUGGUGUAUAUUUCUCAGGGCAAGUCCAAAUUGAAGGGAAAGUAGGAGUCCAUGUAAGAAGUAACUUUAAGUAAGUAAGAGAGCUUGCAGGAUACAGUUAGGGCAGAACUUGUGAUGGAUGCCAGGGAGGGCAGCUGGGAAUCACUGUCUCAGUCACGUUAACUGGAGACUCAGGACUGGAUUGAAAAUGGCCAUCCAGCCACCAGACCCACCGAGGUGCCCCUCCCACGCUCCAGUGCGUGUGGUGGGAGUUGCUCCAUUGCAGAUACUUCCUGGAACACUAACAGGCCUCCUGGUUCUUGCCUCUCU